This 634-nucleotide ribosomal RNA is filed under the name Alcaligenes sp. RNAcentral describes it as "bacterial SSU rRNA". It matches the Rfam family "Bacterial small subunit ribosomal RNA", at positions 279 to 906 of the family's 1533-position model. The record is from RNAcentral. Lineage: Bacteria; Pseudomonadati; Pseudomonadota; Betaproteobacteria; Burkholderiales; Alcaligenaceae.
AUCCGUAGCUGGUUUGAGAGGACGACCAGCCACACUGGGACUGAGACACGGCCCAAACUCGUACGGGAGGCAGCAGUGGGGAAUUUUGGACAAUGGGGGAAACCCUGAUCCAGCCAUCCCGCGUGUAUGAUGAAGGCCUUCGGGUUGUAAAGUACUUUUGGCAGAGAAGAAAACGUAUCCCCUAAUACGGGAUACUGCUGACGGUAUCUGCAGAAUAAGCACCGGCUAACUACGUGCCAGCAGCCGCGGUAAUACGUACGGUGCAAGCGUUAAUCGGAAUUACUGGGCGUAAAGCGUGUGUACGCGGUUCGGAAAGAAAGAUGUGAAAUCCCAGGGCUCAACCUUGGAACUGCAUUUUUAACUGCCGAGCUAGAGUAUGUCAGAGGGGGGUAGAAUUCCACGUGUAGCAGUGAAAUGCGUAGAUAUGUGGAGGAAUACCGAUGGCGAAGGCAGCCCCCUGGGAUAAUACUGACGCUCAGACACGAAAGCGUGGGGAGCAAACAGGAUUAGAUACCCUGGUAGUCCACGCCCUAAACGAUGUCAACUAGCUGUUGGGGCCGUUAGGCCUUAGUAGCGCAGCUAACGCGUGAAGUUGACCGCCUGGGGAGUACGGUCGCAAGAUUAAAACUCACAG